CGCAAGGUGAGUGGCAGACGGGUGAGUAACACGUGGGAACCUUCCCUUUGGUUCAGGAUAGCCCCGGGAAACUGGGAUUAAUACUGGAUAAGAUCUACGGAUGAAAGAUUUAUCGCCGAAGGAUGGGCCCGCGCAAGAUUAGCUAGUUGGUGAGGUAAUGGCUCACCAAGGCUAUGAUCUUUAGCUGGUCUGAGAGGAUGAUCAGCCACACUGGAACUGAGACACGGUCCAGACUCCUACGGGAGGCAGCAGUGAGGAAUAUUGGACAAUGGGCGCAAGCCUGAUCCAGCCAUGCCGCGUGAGUGAUGAAGGCCUUAGGGUUGUAAAACUCUUUUAGUGGGGAAGAUAAUGACGGUACCCACAGAAAAAGCUCCGGCUAACUUCGUGCCAGCAGCCGCGGUAAUACGAAGGGAGCUAGCGUUACUCGGAAUUACUGGGCGUAAAGCGCAUGUAGGCGGAACUACAAGUCAGGGGUGAAAUCCCGGGGCUCAACCCCGGAAUUGCCUUUGAAACUGUAGUUCUUGAGUAUGACAGAGGAUGGUGGAAUUUCCAGUGUAGAGGUGAAAUUCGUAGAUAUUGGAAAGAACACCGGUGGCGAAGGCGACCAUCUGGGUCAUUACUGACGCUGAGAUGCGAAAGCGUGGGGAGCGAACGGGAUUAGAUACCCCGGUAGUCCACGCCGUAAACGAUGAGUGCUAGUCGUUGGGGGUUUCCUCAGUGACACAGUUAACACGUUAAGCACUCCGCCUGGGGAGUACGGUCGCAAGAUUAAAACUCAAAGG
Molecule: ribosomal RNA, 782 nt
Filed under: uncultured Pseudomonadota bacterium
Lineage: Bacteria; Pseudomonadati; Pseudomonadota
Description: bacterial SSU rRNA
Rfam family: Bacterial small subunit ribosomal RNA
Source: RNAcentral